Molecule: ribosomal RNA, 886 nt
Filed under: uncultured bacterium
Lineage: Bacteria
Description: bacterial SSU rRNA
Rfam family: Bacterial small subunit ribosomal RNA
Source: RNAcentral
AGAGUUUGAUCAUGGCUCAGGACGAAUCGCUGGCGGCGUGCCUAAUAUCAUGCAAGUCGAGCGAGCGGAACCAACAGAUUUAUCUUCGGUAAUGACGUUGGGAAAGCGAGCGGCGGAUGGGUGAGUAAUCAUCGUGGGGAAUCCUGCCCCUAAGUCUGGGAUACCAUUUGGAAAUCAGGUGCUAAUACCGGAUAAUAAAGCAGAUCGCAUGAUCAGCUUUUGAAAGGCGGCGUAAGCUGUCGCUAAGGGAUGGCCCCGCGGUGCAUUAGCUAGUUGGUAAGGUAACGGCUUACCAAGGCGACGAUGCAUAGCCGAGUUGAGAGACUGAUCGGCCACAUUGGGACUGAGACACGGCCCAAACUCCUACGGGAGGCAGCAGUAGGGAAUCUUCCACAAUGGACGCAAGUCUGAUGGAGCAACGCCGCGUGAGUGAAGAAGGUUUUCGGAUCGUAAAGCUCUGUUGUUGGUGAAGAAGGAUAGAGGUAGUAACUGGCCUUUAUUUGACGGUAAUCAACCAGAAAGUCACGGCUAACUACGUGCCAGCAGCCGCGGUAAUACGUAGGUGGCAAGCGUUGUCCGGAUUUAUUGGGCGUAAAGCGAGCGCAGGCGGAAAAAUAAGUCUAAUGUGAGAGCCCUCGGCUUAACCGAGGAACUGCAUCGGAAACUGUUUUUCUUGAGUGCAGAAGAGGAGAGUGGAACUCCAUGUGUAGCGGUGGAAUGCGUAGAUAUAUGGAAGAACACCAGUGGCGAAGGCGGCUCUCUGGUCUGCAACUGACGCUGAGGCUCGAAAGCAUGGGUAGCGAACAGGAUUAGAUACCCUGGUAGUCCAUGCCGUAAACGAUGAGUGCUAAGUGUUGGGAGGUUUCCGCCUUUCAGUGCUGCAGCU